UGAUGGGGUAUUAUAUACAUCUAAACUGUCAUAUAUAUAUUGAAACUUGAUGAACAUCCUGAUAGCAUUAUUGAGUUGGGCAUAUGAGUAUUCAAUUGUUAAUUGUUGAGAUUUGAAUUACUAUUUUCUUAAUAAGUAUGUCUAUUAAAGAAUUGUUAUCUUUCCAAACUAGCAUGUGUGCUUAAAAAAUUCUUACUGAGCCAUUGGCUCAUAUCAUCAUUUCUAUUUUUUUCAGAGCCAU
RNAcentral lists this long non-coding RNA (241 nucleotides) under Elaeis guineensis (African oil palm). RNAcentral describes it as "long non-coding RNA (EGUI_LNC020501)". The record is from RNAcentral. Lineage: Eukaryota; Viridiplantae; Streptophyta; Magnoliopsida; Arecales; Arecaceae.